This 756-nucleotide ribosomal RNA is filed under the name Flavobacterium sp. Its description in RNAcentral is "bacterial SSU rRNA". It matches the Rfam family "Bacterial small subunit ribosomal RNA", at positions 90 to 849 of the family's 1533-position model. Lineage: Bacteria; Pseudomonadati; Bacteroidota; Flavobacteriia; Flavobacteriales; Flavobacteriaceae. The record is from RNAcentral.
UGAGACCGGCGCACGGGUGCGUAACGCGUAUGCAAUCUACCUUUUACAGAGGGAUAGCCCAGAGAAAUUUGGAUUAAUACCUCAUAGUAUAGCAGUUUCGCAUGAAACCACUAUUAAAGUCACAACGGUAAAAGAUGAGCAUGCGUCCCAUUAGCUAGUUGGUAAGGUAACGGCUUACCAAGGCUACGAUGGGUAGGGGUCCUGAGAGGGAGAUCCCCCACACUGGUACUGAGACACGGACCAGACUCCUACGGGAGGCAGCAGUGAGGAAUAUUGGACAAUGGGCGCAAGCCUGAUCCAGCCAUGCCGCGUGCAGGAUGACGGUCCUAUGGAUUGUAAACUGCUUUUGUACGAGAAGAAACACUCCUAUGUAUAGGAGCUUGACGGUAUCGUAAGAAUAAGGAUCGGCUAACUCCGUGCCAGCAGCCGCGGUAAUACGGAGGAUCCAAGCGUUAUCCGGAAUCAUUGGGUUUAAAGGGUCCGUAGGCGGUUUAAUAAGUCAGUGGUGAAAGCCCAUCGCUCAACGGUGGAACGGCCAUUGAUACUGUUAAACUUGAAUUAUUAGGAAGUAACUAGAAUAUGUAGUGUAGCGGUGAAAUGCUUAGAGAUUACAUGGAAUACCAAUUGCGAAGGCAGGUUACUACUAAUUGAUUGACGCUGAUGGACGAAAGCGUGGGUAGCGAACAGGAUUAGAUACCCUGGUAGUCCACGCCGUAAACGAUGGAUACUAGCUGUUGGGAGCAAUCUCAGUGGCUA